UCCCAUCGUUUCCUCAAACUUUGCUCAGUCAGCAAGGGGACUUCACUGACUGCGCCCGCACUGAUCACAAGAUCACUGGUGAGUCACAUGUAUUUAAAAUCCUUUCAUUAUAUUCAGCUGUUUUUUGUCUAACUAUUAGGAGAAGUAUGACACUAAAAAGAACAUAACAGACAUGGACUAUGUUUAACUUGUACUUAUGAUGUGUGACAGACUGAGAGCCCAUGACUGAGGAAACAGCUAGAGGGGAUCCUGCUGGAGGCUCUGGGCCAGAUACAGGGGCGACUGAGAAAGGGGAUGAGCCGAGAGGGAAAUGGGCCAACAAAUGGGAGUUCAUCCUCGCCAUGACUGGACAGAUGAUUAACCUCAGGACUACUUGGCGUUUCCCCUUUGUCUGCUACAGAAAUGGAGGAGGGGUAGGGAUUGCGUCCCAAGUGAUUCUGGCCUACCUGAACAUCUGCCACAUUGUCACCAUGGCCUGGGCUCUCGUCUACCUGUAUUACUCCUUUAAAAGCACGCUGCACUGGUCGACGUGUGACAACCAGUGGAACAGUGCUGCAUGUCACAGGGGCCCCCAUUUUUGGUCGAGCUACAACCUCACUUCACUUGAUGAUUACACUGACGAUUACAGUGCUGAGUUUGAGAACGAGAGGAGGACAUCUGAACAGGAGUUCUGGCUGUGAGAAACACACACACACACACUCACACACUUAUCUUCCUAAAACAUGUAAAACAGCUUUGACAGGAAUAUCACCUCCCCAGCAUGCUUUUCUUUGGGUGGAACAUUUCUCCCUGCCUCCAAGAUAACAAGAGGCCAUCUCUGCUGUUGGGGAGCUGAGUGAACAUGAUGUUAAUGAUGGAAAAAAAAAAAAAAAAAAUCUGUAGAUAUCACGUGAUAACCUCCCGAUUUGCUGUGAGAACAGAACAGAACAUAACAGGAAAUCGACUGUGCUGCACGAUGAGAACAGUAUGUGCUCUUUUCUCUGCAGAUUCUGUUAAAGUCACCCAAGCCGGCCAUCUGUAUUCAUGGUUCUGAGUGUUAAGGGUUUCACAUGACAUGACCCUGGGUCCGGUGAACUGGGAUUUGGCUGCGUGUCUCCUCCUCGCCUGGAUUGUGUGUUACCUCUGCAUCUUUCGAGGAAUCAAAUCUGCAGG
Molecule: non-coding RNA, 1152 nt
Organism: Epinephelus lanceolatus (giant grouper)
Lineage: Eukaryota; Metazoa; Chordata; Actinopteri; Perciformes; Serranidae
Source: RefSeq, a predicted model, not a curated record